UAACACCAAGUGAAACGGUGGCCUC
RNAcentral lists this non-coding RNA (25 nucleotides) under Rattus norvegicus (Norway rat). The record is from RNAcentral. Lineage: Eukaryota; Metazoa; Chordata; Mammalia; Rodentia; Muridae.